Molecule: ribosomal RNA, 301 nt
Filed under: uncultured bacterium
Lineage: Bacteria
Description: partial 16S ribosomal RNA
Rfam family: Bacterial small subunit ribosomal RNA
Source: RNAcentral
CAGUAGCCGCGGUAAUACGUAGGUCCCGAGCGUUGUCCGGAUUUAUUGGGCGUAAAGGGAGCGCAGGCGGUUUAGUAAGUCUGAAGUUAAAGGCAUUGGCUCAACCAAUGUAUGCUUUGGAAACUGUUAGACUUGAGUGCAGAAGGGGAGAGUGGAAUUCCAUGUGUAGCGGUGAAAUGCGUAGAUAUAUGGAGGAGCACCGGUGGCGAAAGCGGCUCUCUGGUCUGUCACUGACGCUGAGGCUCGAAAGCGUGGGUAGCGAACAGGAUUAGAUACCCCCGUAGUCCCUGUCUCUUAUACA